CUUGGACAUGCUCAUCAAAUAUUGCUUUCUUGUAUGAACUUCCCAUCUGUGUGACAAUGGCAUAAAGUGGAAGGGUGCUGUAACUGCAUAGUAUCUGAAUGAACACCCCAAUAAUUAGCCUGGGGACAAUAUAUCGGACUUGUCCCAUUAUGCAGGAAUCAAAGCCAUAUUGAACCCAUAUCCAGAAGAAAAAUGCAAUCUCAAAAGCAUUUUGGAAGAGGAUGAAAUGAAUCAAGAACAAGACAAUGUCAGGUCGGUUGAACCAAAAGUGCUCAUCUGAUGGUUUAACUACCAAGUCCCCUUCUAUGGCUACAUGUUUCUCAGCAACAUCAUGAGCCAAUUGGGUGAUUACAUGCUCCAACUUGGUGCCAACAGCAAGUAGAAGAAGGAAAGGAAGGAAUGCUAUCCAGAAAUAUGUAUGCCAACCAUUAACAUUCAGCAAUAAGAAGAUGACCACAAAUAUCCAAAGAUACCAACUUAUACCAACAACUGUCUUAAAGUCAUCUUCAAGGGCACGUACCAUGUAUCUGUGAAAGUUAAACUUUGGACUUCCUCUGCAAUGUGUCAUGAUGAAACCUAGUCGCAGAGUUAUGUAAUCUGAUUUUGUCACAGAUGCAUAAAAUUGCUUGAAAAAGGAAUGCACCCACCCCAACAGAGCAAAAUCUUUACCAAUUCCAAGAAAAUGCUCCUGGAUAAAUGUGUGUUGAUGGACAUUGGUGAACUUCUUUUUCAAAACUUCAUCUGUAUCAUAUCGAUCUU
RNAcentral lists this unclassified non-coding RNA (759 nucleotides) under Hevea brasiliensis (rubber tree). The record is from RNAcentral. Lineage: Eukaryota; Viridiplantae; Streptophyta; Magnoliopsida; Malpighiales; Euphorbiaceae.